Molecule: transfer RNA, 69 nt
Filed under: Marmota monax (woodchuck)
Lineage: Eukaryota; Metazoa; Chordata; Mammalia; Rodentia; Sciuridae
Rfam family: tRNA
About the family: Transfer RNA (tRNA) molecules are approximately 80 nucleotides in length. Their secondary structure includes four short double-helical elements and three loops (D, anti-codon, and T loops). Further hydrogen bonds mediate the characteristic L-shaped molecular structure. tRNAs have two regions of fundamental functional importance: the anti-codon, which is responsible for specific mRNA codon recognition, and the 3' end, to which the tRNAs corresponding amino acid is attached (by aminoacyl-tRNA synthetases). tRNAs cope with the degeneracy of the genetic code in two manners: having more than one tRNA (with a specific anti-codon) for a particular amino acid; and 'wobble' base-pairing, i.e. permitting non-standard base-pairing at the 3rd anti-codon position.
Source: Rfam by way of RNAcentral
GGAGUUGUGGCUCAGAGGUAGAGCACUUGCCUACCAUGCAUGAGGCACUGGGUUUGAUCCUCAGCACCA